RNAcentral lists this ribosomal RNA (774 nucleotides) under uncultured Streptococcus sp. RNAcentral describes it as "bacterial SSU rRNA". It matches the Rfam family "Bacterial small subunit ribosomal RNA", at positions 28 to 776 of the family's 1533-position model. The record is from RNAcentral. Lineage: Bacteria; Bacillati; Bacillota; Bacilli; Lactobacillales; Streptococcaceae.
GAUGAACGCUGGCGGCGUGCUUAACACAUGCAAGUCGAACGAGAAGUGAGGACGGAAACCUUCGGGCGGAAGGCUUUACUUCGAGUGGCGGACGGGUGAGUAACGCGUGGGUAACCUGCCUCAUACAGGGGGAUAACAGUUGGAAACGACUGUUAAUACCGCAUAAGACCACAGCACCGCAUGGUGCGGGGGUAAAAACUCCGGUGGUAUGAGAUGGACCCGCGUUCGAUUAGCCAGUUGGCGGGGUAACGGCUCACCAAGGCGACGAUACAUAGCCGACCUGAGAGGGUGAUCGGCCACACUGGGACUGAGACACGGCCCAGACUCCUACGGGAGGCAGCAGUAGGGAAUCUUCGGCAAUGGACGGAAGUCUGACCGAGCAACGCCGCGUGAGUGAAGAAGGUUUUCGGAUCGUAAAGCUCUGUUGUAAGAGAAGAACGAGUGUGAGAGUGGAAAGUUCACACUGUGACGGUAACUUACCAGAAAGGGACGGCUAACUACGUGCCAGCAGCCGCGGUAAUACGUAGGUCCCGAGCGUUAUCCGGAUUUAUUGGGCGUAAAGCGAGCGCAGGCGGUUAGAUAAGUCUGAAGUUAAAGGCUGUGGCUUAACCAUAGUACGCUUUGGAAACUGUUUAACUUGAGUGCAGAAAGGGGAGAGUGGAAUUCCAUGUGUAGCGGUGAAAUGCGUAGAUAUAUGGAGGAACACCGGUGGCGAAAGCGGCUUCUCUUGUCUGUAAAUGACGCUGACGCUCGAAAACUUGCGGGGCAAAAAGU